Molecule: ribosomal RNA, 273 nt
Filed under: Triticum aestivum (bread wheat)
Lineage: Eukaryota; Viridiplantae; Streptophyta; Magnoliopsida; Poales; Poaceae
Description: partial small subunit ribosomal RNA
Source: RNAcentral
AUGGAGAUUGACUGCUUGGAGCUAGUUGAUCUAUGGAAAUCGUGCAACAACACCAGGUCAGUUGCAGCGCCUAUCUUGAAUGAAUUGGAGGAAAUCGGUGCUACCUUUGCUUCUCUUUCUGUUACCCAUGUCAGUAGGGAUGCCAAUGCUCUGGCGCAUCAGUGUGCCCAUUUAGCUAGUACACUUGAUGGCACCAAGAGUUGGCUUGAUGUAAGCCCCGAGUUUCUUGUUUCUUGCCUAUGGGCGGAUUGUAACACUAUGAUCAUACGUUAA